RNAcentral lists this ribosomal RNA (944 nucleotides) under uncultured bacterium. Its description in RNAcentral is "bacterial SSU rRNA". It matches the Rfam family "Bacterial small subunit ribosomal RNA", at positions 534 to 1482 of the family's 1533-position model. The record is from RNAcentral.
GCAGUACGUAUCGGAUUACUGGGCGUAAGCGUGCGCAGGCGGUUUUGUAAGUCUGUCGUGAAAGCCCCGGGCUCAACCUGGGAAUUGCGAUGGAGACUGCAAGGCUUGAAUCUGGCAGAGGGGGGUAGAAUUCCACGUGUAGCAGUGAAAUGCGUAGAGAUGUGGAGGAACACCGAUGGCGAAGGCAGCCCCCUGGGUCAAGAUUGACGCUCAUGCACGAAAGCGUGGGGAGCAAACAGGAUUAGAUACCCUGGUAGUCCACGCCCUAAACGAUGUCUACUAGUUGUCGGGUUUUAAUUAACUUGGUAACGCAGCUAACGCGUGAAGUAGACCGCCUGGGGAGUACGGUCGCAAGAUUAAAACUCAAAGGAAUUGACGGGGACCCGCACAAGCGGUGGAUGAUGUGGAUUAAUUCGAUGCAGCGCGAAAAACCUUACCUACCCUUGACAUGUCAGGAACCUCCGAGAGAUCGGGGGGUGCCCGAAAGGGAGCCUGAACACAGGUGCUGCAUGGCUGUCGUCAGCUCGUGUCGUGAGAUGUUGGGUUAAGUCCCGCAACGAGCGCAACCCUUGUCAUUAGUUGCUACAUUCAGUUGAGCACUCUAAUGAGACUGCCGGUGACAAACCGGAGGAAGGUGGGGAUGACGUCAAGUCCUCAUGGCCCUUAUGGGUAGGGCUUCACACGUCAUACAAUGGUACAUACAGAGGGCCGCCAACCCGCGAGGGGGAGCUAAUCCCAGAAAGUGUAUCGUAGUCCGGAUCGCAGUCUGCAACUCGACUGCGUGAAGUUGGAAUCGCUAGUAAUCGCGGAUCAGCAUGUCGCGGUGAAUACGUUCCCGGGUCUUGUACACACCGCCCGUCACACCAUGGGAGCGGGUUUUACCAGAAGUAGGUAGCUUAACCGCAAGGAGGGCGCUUACCACGGUAGGAUUCGUGACUGGGGUG